AAGAUCAAUUCCAUGCUUCGAUCAUUCAACGGCUGGACUUCUCCUUGGAAAUUGCACUGAUCGGUCGCCUGCUCUGGUCGCUGGAAGAUGAGAAAGUCCCUCGGCCAUAGAUGCUAAAGCAAAUAGGGGGCAUGGUUGGCUCAUAGAAUUUGAAGCAGUAGAUGGGUUCUUCUAAAGACAUGAAUGUUUGGUGGUACUAAUAGGCAGGUUUAAGGUGAUUAUGAGCUUAGGUAUGUCGCUGACUGCAACUAUACAUGGCGAUGCCUAAGAGCAAGGCACGUCAUUGGACAGGCAAAUGCAGCUACAUUUUGGCCAAAACAAGUGCAAUUACGUUGGCCGUGGAUUUAUUGGAUAUAUUGUCUACCAUUUUGCAGAGGGGUAUCUUGAAUGGGCAGAGGAGUUUAUUGCAAUUUUACCUUGGUAGCUUUUCCCUUUGUAACAUUAAAAUUAUUUUCCCUUUCCUUUGUAGUCUGUACACUUGAGAUACGAUAGAGAUGUCCCAGUCAAAGCAAAUACUGUUGCUAUAUAUAUAUUGAGACGAUUAACAUUAAGAAUAUGCUAUAAAUUGCUUCUCCCAGUGGUGAGAUAGUAAAACUAGCUUAUGCGGCCAAUGUAUGACAUUCUUUUUGGUCAAUGUAAAUAAUAAGCCAAA
This is a long non-coding RNA of Neltuma alba, 652 nucleotides long. RefSeq lists it as uncharacterized. Lineage: Eukaryota; Viridiplantae; Streptophyta; Magnoliopsida; Fabales; Fabaceae. The record is from RefSeq and is a predicted model, not a curated record. The transcript has 2 exons.